UACGAGGGGGGGCAAGCGUUGUUCGGAAUUAUUGGGCGUAAAGGGUGCGUAGGCGGUUUGGUAAGUCUGAUGUGAAAUCUAUGGGCUCAACUCAUAGUCUGCAUCGGAAACUGCCGGGCUUGAGUGUGGGAGAGGUGAGUGGAAUUCCUGGUGUAGCGGUGAAAUGCGUAGAUAUCAGGAGGAACACCUGUGGCGAAAGCGGCUCACUGGACCAUAACUGACGCUGAUGCACGAAAGCUAGGGGAGCAAACAGG
This 254-nucleotide ribosomal RNA is filed under the name uncultured bacterium. RNAcentral describes it as "partial 16S ribosomal RNA". It matches the Rfam family "Bacterial small subunit ribosomal RNA", at positions 524 to 776 of the family's 1533-position model. The record is from RNAcentral.